This 898-nucleotide ribosomal RNA is filed under the name uncultured Acidobacteriota bacterium. RNAcentral describes it as "bacterial SSU rRNA". It matches the Rfam family "Bacterial small subunit ribosomal RNA", at positions 8 to 885 of the family's 1533-position model. The record is from RNAcentral. Lineage: Bacteria; Pseudomonadati; Acidobacteriota.
AGAGAUCAUGGCUCAGAAUCAACGCUGGCGGCGUGCCUCAGACAUGCAAGUCGAACGCGAAAGUCCCCUUCGGGGGAUGAGUAGAGUGGCGCACGGGUGAGUAACACGUAGGUAAUCUACCUUCGGAUGGGGAAUAACAACCGGAAACGGUUGCUAAUACCGCAUAAUGCAGCGGCACCUAAUGGUGACAGUUGUUAAAGCGGGGGAUCGAAAGACCUCGCGUCUGAAGAGGAGCCUGCGGCAGAUUAGCUAGUUGGUAAGGUAAUGGCUUACCAAGGCGAUGAUCUGUAGCCGGCCUGAGAGGGCGGUCGGCCACACUGACACUGACAUACGGGUCAGACUCCUACGGGAGGCAGCAGUCGGGAAUUUUGGGCAAUGGGCGAAAGCCUGACCCAGCAACGCCGCGUGAAGGAUGAAAUCCUUCGGGAUGUAAACUUCGCAAGAACGGGAAGAAUAAGUAGGGGACAAUACCCCCCAUGAUGACGGUACUGUUUGUAAGCUCCGGCUAACUCCGUGCCAGCAGCCGCGGUAAUACGGGGGGAGCAAGCGUUGUUCGGAUUUACUGGGCGUAAAGGGCGCGUAGGCGGCCACCGCAAGUCAGUUGUGAAAUCUCUGGGCUUAACCCAGAAAGGUCAACUGAUACUGCGGGGCUAGAGUGCAGAAGGGGCAACUGGAAUUCUCGGUGUAGCGGUGAAAUGCGUAGAUAUCGAGAGGAACACCUGCGGCGAAGGCGGGUUGCUGGGCUGACACUGACGCUGAGGCGCGAAAGCUAGGGGAGCGAACGGGAUUAGAUACCCCGGGUAGUCCUAGCCUUAAACAAUGAAUGCUUGUUGUCUGGGGUUUAUAGUCCCGGGUGCCGUCCCUAACGUUUUAAGCAUUCCGGCCUGGGGGAGUACGG